This 3355-nucleotide long non-coding RNA is filed under the name Homo sapiens (human). RNAcentral's name for it is "HSALNT0025633". Lineage: Eukaryota; Metazoa; Chordata; Mammalia; Primates; Hominidae. The record is from RNAcentral.
CCCAGUCUGGAAAGUGAGGAGCGUCUCUGCCCGGCCGCCAUCCCAUCUAGGAAGUGAGGAGCAUCUCUGCCCGGCCGCCCAUCGUCUGAGAGAGUAUUCUAGCUGCCUCCGCCUUUGAGACAGAGCAGGAAGAACCUGUGGAUGGUGGGAUUCCCUCUUCUUGGAGAAGGGGAUGAGCAUUUCCCGCUGCCCUCCUGACACGCCCGUGGCUGUCUGCCUUGCUCUGUACCUCCAGACUUCAUGGAAAGCAUGCUCGACCUUUGACUUCUGGAAAUCCUUGAAUGAAGCACAAAAGGGAUUGGUCCUUGCCUGGUGUGAAGCACAGCUGAGCCAAAGGAGGAAGCAAUAUUGCAAUGGACUCUGUCUUUGACAUCACUACUUUGCAAAUUUGUUACCACUAUGGUCAAAUUUUUAUAUUCACUCUUACAUUUUAACUCAUUCUGCUCAUUAUAUUCAAUGCAACAUCUGCACUAAAAGAUACUCAGGCAUUAAUUUAUGCUUUUCUGUUUACAAAUGAGAAUUCAUAAGCAAAUUGAGGUAGCAAUUAGAUAUUUUUUAAAAUCGAAGACAAAACAGAAGACACAUACACACACAUCAGUGGAACACAACAGAGAGCCCAGAAACAGACUGAAAUACAGCCGACUAAUCUCUGACAAAGGAGCAAAAGCAAUUCAAUGGAGAAAGGAGAGUCUUUUUAACAAAUGGUGCCGGAACAAGUGGGCAUCCAUAUGCAAAAAAGAAAAAAAAAAAGAAUCUAAAAACAGACCUUAUACUUCUUACAAAAAUUAAUGCAAAGUAGAUAUUAGACCAAUAUAUAAAAUGUAAAAUUUUCAAACUUCUAGAAGAUAACAUAAGGAAAAAAUCUAGUUAACUUUGGAUUUGGUGACUUUUUAAAGAUACAACACCAAAAGCAUGAUCCACGAAGACAAAAAUUGGUAAGCUGAAUUUCAUUAACAUGAAAAACUUUUGUUUUGCAAAAGAUACCAUUAAGAGAAUAAAAAGACAAAUCCCAAACUGUGAGAAAAUAUUUGCAAAAUAUAUCUAAGGAUUCGUAUCUGAAAUAUGCAAAGAACUGUUAAAACUCAACAAGAGGAAAACAAACAACCCAAUUAAAAAUGGGCAAAAGCUGAACAGAUAUGCAGAUGGAAACUAACUAUAUGAAAAGAUGCUCUGUAUGUUAUUAGGAACUGCCAAUUAAGACAACAAUAAGACACCACUACACACCUAUUAGAAUGGCCAAAAUCCACAAGUCUGAAAACACCAAAUGCUGGUGAGGAUGUGAAGCAACAAGAACUCUCAUUCAUUGCUGUGGGAAUGCAAAAUGGCACAGCCACUUUGGAAGACAGUUUGGCAGUUUUUUACAAAGCUCACAUAGUCUUAUUAUAAGAUUUAGCAAUUGUGCUCUUCAUUAUUUACCCAGUGGAGUUGAAGAGUUAUGUCCACACACAAACUUGCACACAAAUGUUUAUAAAAGCUUUAUUCAGGAUUACCAGAAACUGGAGGUGAUCAACAUGUCCUUCAGUAGGUGAAUGGAGAAAUAAAUUCUGAUAUCUACAGACAAUGGAAUAUCAUUCAGUGAGAAAAGACCUAUCAAGUCAUGAAAAGGCAUACCGGGACCCAAAAUGCACAUUACUAACGAAAAAAGCCAAAAAGGCUACAUACUGUAUGAUUCCAAUUAUGUGACAUUUUGGAAAAGGGAAAAUUACACAGAUAGUAAAAUGAUCGGUGGUUGGUAGGGGUUGAGGAGAGGGAAGGAUAGAUGGUCAGAGAGUUCCGGAUGUUUAGGGCAGUGAGACCAUUGUGUGCGAUUUCACCACAACGGUGGACCCACGACAGUGUGCAGAUGCCAAACCCAUUGAAUGCAGACCACAAAAAGAUAAUAAUUACAUAAACUAUGAACUUUCAUAAUGAAAUAAAUCAUGUUUUAAAAAAGUAGACAGCUUUGUUCAGUUACUGUCUACUUUUUGAAAUGGAGAGGGUGGGAUGCUUACAUGGUUGUGAGGAUAAAAAUAGCUUAGAGAAUGUAAUAACUAAAACAGGUGUGUAAACAUUGUUAAACUCUUUUAUCCUCAUUAAAAAACAUUGCUUAAAUAUAUUUGUAAUUUUUUACAACUGAGCGAGUAGUGCAAACACAUUAACAUAAUUCUCCUCUAGCUCCGCUCAGAAGUCAGGCUUCAGUGCAGGACCACAUGGCUCCAAGUGCACCUGCCAAAUGCAACAACCUCUUUCAACGUCAUUAAAAUAUUUCAAUAGGAGGCUUGAUUUUAGACUCAACCUGUGUUUUCUCCCCUGGAAAAUGAAGGUUUUAUGAAACAAAGAAGGUCUUUACCAUUCUCAUCCAAAAUGCUGAGACAUCUGUGAUGUCUGCUGUAAGUGCCACCAGGCUCUCCUCUGAAAUCUCACAACGGGAAAAUAGAGACUGUCAAUUCUGCUUUUAGAAAGGGGAGAAUCAGAUCUAAUGUCGAAAUGCCAUGUCCUCAUUCAUACACAUCUUCUUUUACAAAUUCCACAGGUUUAGUUACUUUGGGAUUAAUAUGGGCCUAUUUUAAAGUGCAUUUAUUAAUUUAGCAUGAAAUGUCCAAAUGCAUUCUGGAUCCUGAGCUGACAUCCAGCAAUGCUGAGUGUGCGCCUGUGUGAGUCACCAGCCCUGAUGAGCCUCAGGUUAUUGUAUUCAUAAAAUGAAGGGGCUUAGGCUUGCUCCGAUUUUUUUAAAACCAUUUUUAACAGUAAAAACUUGUUUCUUGUUACAUAAAAAUGUACAAGAAAAACCCAAACAUUACAAAUGAUAAAUUAUAAUUUUAUUAAUAUAAAUAUUUUGUGAGCUCAAUUUAUAGGACUUAGUUAUUAUAAAAGAAAUAAGCAACAUGAGGUGGCCAUACUUUCCUAUUUUGUUCACAUGCUAUUGAUAAAUCUUGAUGUACACAGAAAAUUAGUUUCAAAGAAUAAUAAUUUUAAAAAUCUUGACUUGUAAUUUCAAGGGACUUUAAAAAAAUUCCUGCAAUUUCUCUUUAAAGGUUCUAGAACAGUUUUCUAUGUCUUAAAGCUAAAUAAUCACAAAGAACUAACUGUUCUCACAUUCUGUAUUAUAAAUAUGUAAGUCAGAAAAGGAACAGACAAAAGAAUAAAAACACAUGCGUGAACAAAUGGGCCUUGGUUUACAUUGAAUUGGAUCUGGCAAUGAACAUGGGUUAUAGUAGUAUUUUUGUGUGUAAUUUUACACGAGUGGACUGUUGACAAAAUAAAAAUUGUCUGCAAUCACUAUUUGGUGGUAUAUUUGCACAAAUGGUAAACAUAUACAUAGAGGUCGUGGGAGAAAUUUAUUUCAUGGCUUACCAGAAGACAGGUUAAGUUGGGA